RNAcentral lists this long non-coding RNA (464 nucleotides) under Cyanistes caeruleus (blue tit). RNAcentral describes it as "lncRNA (ENSCCEG00000023841.1)". The record is from RNAcentral. Lineage: Eukaryota; Metazoa; Chordata; Aves; Passeriformes; Paridae.
UUUAAAUACUCUCCACAAUGCCCAGCAGCUGCCUCCUGCCCUCACUUUACUCCAGGGCUGAGAAACCUCACUCCUAGGAACAGGUAUGUAACUGCCAUCGGAUGUCACCCAAAGAAAUCUCACAGGAACAAAAUCUUCAGGACAUCAUAAGCUAUGAACCAUGAAAAGACCUAGCAGAAGGGAGAAGAGGGAUUAAGGAAGAAGCUGGCAUUGUCCAGCUGUGGGACAAACUCUCUGUGUCUUGCACCUCAGCGAUUGUGCAGCUAGAUAGUUAAUGUUCAUUCACAUUCACUCUGCUCAAAAAAGUGCGUGCUUUUGGGGAUGAGAACAUUGACUGCUGGAAAAAUGCAUGCUUCGGAGGAACCCUUCAGCUCCUGGAGCUGGACCUCACAGGCCCAGAGACUCCCAACACCACCACAGAGGCAUUUUGGAGUUAAGAGGAUACUGAAACAAACAAAAAUGUG